RNAcentral lists this ribosomal RNA (407 nucleotides) under uncultured bacterium. Its description in RNAcentral is "bacterial SSU rRNA". It matches the Rfam family "Bacterial small subunit ribosomal RNA", at positions 355 to 776 of the family's 1533-position model. The record is from RNAcentral.
UCGAGAAUCUUCCCCAAUGGGCGAAAGCCUGAGGGAGCGACACCGCGUGUGGGAUGAAGGUCUUCGGAUUGUAAACCACUGUUACCUCGGACGAAUAAAUUGACUGUACGAGGAGAGGAAGCCACGGCUAACUACGUGCCAGCAGCCGCGGUAAUACGUAGGUGGCUAGCGUUGUUCGGAAUUACUGGGCGUAAAGGGUGUGUAGGUGGAUUUGCAAGCCUUGAGUGAAAUCCUUCGGCUUAACCGAAGAACUGCUCAGGGGACUGCAUUUCUUGAGUAUAGGAGAGGGGAGUGGAAUUCUCGGUGUAGCGGUGAAAUGCGUAGAUAUCGAGAAGAACACCAGCGGUGAAGACGACUCUCUAUCCUAACACUGACACUGAAACACGAAAGCUAGGGGAGCAAAUGGG